Molecule: ribosomal RNA, 452 nt
Filed under: uncultured Paracoccaceae bacterium
Lineage: Bacteria; Pseudomonadati; Pseudomonadota; Alphaproteobacteria; Rhodobacterales; Paracoccaceae
Description: uncultured Rhodobacteraceae bacterium partial 16S ribosomal RNA
Source: RNAcentral
CACGGAGUUAGCCGGGGCUUCUUCUGCGGGUACCGUCAUUAUCUUCCCCGCUGAAAGAGCUUUACAACCCUAGGGCCUUCUUCACUCACGCGGCAUGGCUGGAUCAGGGUUGCCCCCAUUGUCCAAGAUUCCCCACUGCUGCCUCCCGUAGGAGUCUGGGCCGUGUCUCAGUCCCAGUGUGGCUGAUCAUCCUCUCAAACCAGCUAUGGAUCGUCGGCUUGGUAGGCCAUUACCCCACCAACUACCUAAUCCAACGCGGGCCGAUCCUUUGGCGAUAAAUCUUUCCCCCGAAGGGCACAUCCGGCAUUAAUCCCAGUUUCCCGGGGCUAUUCCGAACCAAAGGGCACGUUCCCACGCGUUACUCACCCGUCCGCCGCUAGGACCGAAGUCCUCGCUCGACUUGCAUGUGUUAAGCCUGCCGCCAGCGUUCGUUCUGAGCCAGAUCAAACUCU